Molecule: microRNA, 20 nt
Filed under: Drosophila pseudoobscura pseudoobscura
Lineage: Eukaryota; Metazoa; Arthropoda; Insecta; Diptera; Drosophilidae
Description: mir-2538-RA
Source: RNAcentral
UAGGUGGAAGAACUAAAAUA